This 253-nucleotide ribosomal RNA is filed under the name uncultured bacterium. RNAcentral describes it as "partial 16S ribosomal RNA". It matches the Rfam family "Bacterial small subunit ribosomal RNA", at positions 524 to 776 of the family's 1533-position model. The record is from RNAcentral.
GACGGAGGAUGCAAGCGUUAUCCGGAAUUAUUGGGCGUAAAGCGUCCGCAGGUGGCUGUUCAAGUCUGCUGUCAAAGCGCAGAGCUUAACUCUGUACAGGCGGUGGAAACUGAAGAGCUAGAGUAUGGUAGGGGUAGAGGGAAUUCCCGGUGUAGCGGUGAAAUGCGCAGAUAUCAGGAGGAACACCGGUGGCGAAGGCGGGUCUCUGGGCAACUACUGACGCUGAGGAGCGAAAGCGUGGGGAGCGAACAGG